AUGGGGCGAUGUGCUCUUGUCAUGUCAGUCCUCACUUCACAGCUGACCUACCACAUCAUCUCCCUCAACCCUCCUGCCAGCACACUUCGUAACUAUAACAAGAUCCAGAGGGCUUUCCUUUGGGCGGGCACAGACAAGGCCACCGAGGCCAAGUGUAAAGUGAAUUGGCGCAAUGUUUGCCGCCCAACCGACCUUGGGGGCCUUGGUGUCAUCGACCUCACCAAGUUUGCGCGGGAGCUACGACUUAGAUGGCUAUGGUUCGAAUGGAAGGACCCAACUAAGAGGUGGGUUGGCCUUGACAACCCUUGCGACAAGAUGGAUUGGGCUCUCUUCUGCGCGUCUUCGCACAUCAUCAUUGGCAAUGGGGCCCGUGCACCUUUCUGGGAUUCACCUUGGAUCAAUGGGGUGGCGCCCUUGGACUUGGCACCGCUCAUUUUUGAUAUCUCCUCGAGAAAAAAGUGGAAGGUCCGAGAGGCCAUGCAUGGCGAUGCUUGGCUUGAAAAAAUUAGAUUACCCAUGGACUGGACAAUGGAGCACAUUACACAAAUUGUGACUCUUUGGGCUCGCUCUCGGUAUAUUCACCUUGUGGACGGAAUACAAGAUGACAUUAUAUGGAAGCAUACGACAAGUGGUCACUACUCCGCGACCUCGGCAUAUAAGGCUCACUUCCUUGGCGCCACACGAUCACCCAUGGUCCAGACGAUCUGGAAGGUUUGGGCGCCCCCAAAAGUCAAAUUUUUUGCAUGGCUUGCAACUCAAAACCGACUUUGGACGGCGGAUAGGCUCCAGAAGCGAGCUUGGCCAGAUUGCGGUUUAUGUCCUCUUUGCAAGUAG
This 834-nucleotide ribosomal RNA is filed under the name Triticum aestivum (bread wheat). RNAcentral's name for it is "partial small subunit ribosomal RNA". Lineage: Eukaryota; Viridiplantae; Streptophyta; Magnoliopsida; Poales; Poaceae. The record is from RNAcentral.